RNAcentral lists this ribosomal RNA (720 nucleotides) under Triticum aestivum (bread wheat). RNAcentral describes it as "partial small subunit ribosomal RNA". The record is from RNAcentral. Lineage: Eukaryota; Viridiplantae; Streptophyta; Magnoliopsida; Poales; Poaceae.
AUGAUAGCACUGGAGCCACCGCCGGAGCUCCAACGCAGUAGCACCAGAGCCGCCCGCAGAUCUCCAACGCGGCAGCACCGGAGCCGAUGGAAAAAACAAGUUUCAACUCGACACCGACGAUGCCCGUGGAAACUCCACUGUAGCUCCAUGGCAGCACCGCGGCGUGAAGAAAAGCUCCAUGCAGCACCAUCGGCGUCCCGACGAAUCUCCGUGCAGCCCCGGCCGCUCUCCAUUGUAGCCGCGACGGAGCUCCAUUGCAGCCCCGGCUGCCCUCCAUUGCAGCAGCGGCGGAGCUCCAUUGCAGCUCCAGCCGCGCUCCAUUGCAGUCACCGGCGCGCGGCGUUCCGGCGAACCUCCAUUGCAGCUCGAGCCGCACUCCAUUGCAGCCGAGACCGGGCUCCAUUGCAGCCACGGCGGGGCUCCAUUGCAGCCGGAAGCGACCAUUGCAGCCACCGGCGCGCUCCAUUGGAGCCGCGGCGGGGCUCAGUUGCAGCCGGAUGCGCUCGUUGCAGCCACCAGUGCGCUCCAUUGCAACGCAGCCGACGACGGCGGAUCAGCGACGCAGCAUGUGGUAGCCAUGGCGGGACGCGGGAUGUGGCAGCCACGGCGGGAGGCAGCGGUGGUGCCUAUCCUCUAGAGCUGAACGAGAAAAGGGGAAAAGAAAGGAACUGGCCGAGGGAGAUGAUAAGGCGGAGGGAGACGAUAAGGUGGGACCGGUGA